RNAcentral lists this ribosomal RNA (377 nucleotides) under uncultured bacterium. RNAcentral describes it as "bacterial SSU rRNA". It matches the Rfam family "Bacterial small subunit ribosomal RNA", at positions 521 to 896 of the family's 1533-position model. The record is from RNAcentral.
UAAUACGUACCGGACAAACGUUAUUCGGAAUUACUGGGCUUAAAGAGUGCGUAGGCGGCCUAGCAGGUGGGGUGUGAAAGCCCACGGCCCAACCGUGGAAUUGCGCUUCAAACCGCUAGGCUGGAGGGAGACAGGGGUGAGCGGAACUGAUGGUGGAGCGGUGAAAUGCGUUGAUAUCAUCAGGAACACCCGUGGCGAAGGCGGCUCACUGGGUCUCUUCUGACGCUGAGGCACGAAAGCUAGGGUAGCGAACGGGAUUAGAUACCCCGGUAGUCCUAGCUGUAAACGAUGAGCACUAGAUCGUGGGGGCUUCCACACCCUCUCGGUCGUAGCGAAAGUGUUAAGUGCUCCGCCUGGGGAGUAUGGUCGCAAGGCUG